CCAAUGAUUGGGAACCAGUUGAGGUUGAUAGAUCUCCUGGUUGCUAAAAUCAAAUACCCAUCUUUGUGCACCUUUUUUAUGUCUCUGGUGGUCGCAAGAGAAGUCUCUUAUUUGGAGGAUCUCUUCUAGUUCAUUUUGAUCCUCGGACAAAAGAAUGAAGCCACCAAAUGGUUGCUAUAACACACUUUUUUGCCGUCCAAAAUAUCUGUCUAACAUUGAUUUGUGUAAAAUACAUAAAA
RNAcentral lists this unclassified non-coding RNA (239 nucleotides) under soil metagenome. RNAcentral describes it as "partial internal transcribed spacer 1". The record is from RNAcentral.